Non-coding RNA from Python bivittatus (Burmese python), 463 nucleotides. NCBI's taxonomy places the organism in Eukaryota, Metazoa, Chordata, Lepidosauria, Squamata, Pythonidae. The record is from RefSeq and is a predicted model, not a curated record.
UGAAAUAACUUCUUUUUCCUUGCUCUUAAGGUGACUGUUGGUUGUUGGCUGCCAUUGGUUCCCUGACUCUCAAUGAGGAACUCUUGCAUCGGGUUGUGCCCCAUGGACAGAGCUUCCAGGAGGACUAUGCGGGUAUUUUCCAUUUCCAGAUAUGGCAAUUUGGUGAAUGGGUAGACGUGGUAAUAGAUGAUAGAUUACCAACCAAGGAUGGAGAACUUGUUUUUGUGCACUCAGCAGAGUGUCAAGAGUUUUGGAGUGCUUUGCUGGAAAAAGCUUAUGCCAAGUUGAAUGGCUCUUAUGAAGCCCUGUCUGGGGGCAGCACCACAGAAGGCUUUGAAGAUUUCACAGGUGGUGUGGCGGAAAUGUAUGAUCUCAAGAGACCACCACGCAAUUUAUCUAAAAUCAUUCACAAGGCCCUUGACAGAGGAUCUCUGCUUGGCUGUUCCAUUGAUGUAAGAAGUGC